This is a non-coding RNA of Leptonychotes weddellii (Weddell seal), 2080 nucleotides long. The record is from RefSeq and is a predicted model, not a curated record. Lineage: Eukaryota; Metazoa; Chordata; Mammalia; Carnivora; Phocidae.
CCCGCUCCCCCGCGCGCGCUCCGUCUGUUUUUCCCGAUUGCUUUCGCUCUCGCACUCUAAAAUAGGUCAAGGGGUGGAAGUUGCACCAGGUACGGCCCCCGGCUCUGAUGCAAAAGCGGCUUUCUCUCCCCCGGCUCCGGGAGAGCCUUGCAACUAUUCGGUUCCGUAGAGUCUCCCGCCCCCAUACCGUGCGGAAAGCGCCGGCGACCGUGGUGCUGACAAUGGUCUGCAGAGGGGAGCGGCGGCGAGCCUCUUUCCCACCCUAGUUCUGCCGGUCCUGCGCCCGCCUUCCCCCAGCACACCAGGAGGAGGGGGCGCGACAGGUCGCUUCGCGCGCUCGGGUCCCCGCGCCCGGGGUCUGACCGCCUAGGUAAAUGAGGAAGUGCUCUGAGAAGACUGGCAUGAAAGUACUAAGAUGCUGGGGAUUUAUUUAAGAACAGACUGGGGGCACAUGGGUGGCUCAUUCGGGCAAACUUGUAACCACUCAAGAAGGAAUUUAGAGUCUGCAUUGGAUCCCCUGGAGUGAAUCCCAUCUCUGAGCCAUUUCCUCAUCUGUGAAAUGGCCAUCAUGAGACUUCCCGACGUGGCUGUGAGAAGCAAAUGAAAUAAUUUGUAUAUAAUACUGAGUAUGCAGUCAGCACAUUGUGAGCAGUCUUACAAGGAGAAAUGUGUUGAGUUCAAUGUCAUCUCCUGGGGGCUCUGGAGGGGUUGCUGUGUAAUUGACCGUGGCACUGAAUAUUCAGGGGCCCCCAUAAUUAUUUCUCAGCCUUUAUAAUUAUGCUCUGGCUUUAACCUCAGGCCCCACAGUGUUGGCCUCAUUUGGAUAGUUCUGGAUCGUAUGGCCCUUGACCUUCUUCCUGUUCUUCAUGGUUAACCGUAGGUGUCAGAUGGACACAAACUGUUUCCUUCCUGCAGUUCUCCCCAGGCAGACCUGCUGCCUUGUGCACUGAAUGUCCUCAUCUCUGCCUUCUUCCCUGGACCAGGGAGGCUGCAGAUAAUAGAAAGUAUCCUAGCUACUGGAAGCCAACCGGGGUUUCACAUGGGAGUUAGGUGCUCACAAGAAGGCUGCAAGGAAAGGUUGCCACGGAAAGGAGAGACGAGGAUCCAGGCUGAGCUCUAGGGGUGACACCCAGGCAGCGCUGCUGAACUGGGCCCCCCGGGGGGCUGCUGCCAUCAUUGCCACCGUGUGGGGGCUGGGAAUCAGGGCCACCACCGGAACUGCUGACAAUCAAGAGCACAGUGACGAGAGAAGCUGCUACACUCCACCCGGGAAGCCAGUGACUGAGCACAGCUACCAACGACAAAAACAAACUAGCAACCCGGUAUGUGCCCAGAACCCUAACUGCAAGGAACUCUGGGAAAUGUAGUUUGCCCCUUCCCAGCCUCCCGGAAGAAUGCACCCUUGUAGGGGACGGGAAUGAACACGAAGGUGGAGUGACACCCCAUCGCGUCUUACGUAUAUCUAAAACGUUAUUUCCUCAGAGCCUUAGCCAGCAUAUUUCAUUCAAAGCAGGUAGAUGAUCUAUUGUAAGAAUCCAAAAAGGAUCCAGUGGCUUAACCAAUUUCCAUUUCAAACAGAUGGAUAUUAUAGUCAUUACAGUCGAAAUUGCUGGAAAAAGCAUCAAGCAAAUAAAUACCUAAAAAUUACCAAGCGCCUGCCUCUGCAUGUGGUUCUGUUUGAAAGUGAAAUAGUUUUCCUUUGUUUCGGUUUAGUAAUCAAAGUCAAAUACCGGGAGAAUUGAUUUCUAAAAAAAUUCUCCCCACCAAAGUCCCAGAUAGCCUACGUUUAAUGCAUGGCAGUACAAAGGAAGAAUGCCGUGUCUGAUAAGAGAAAUAGCUCCUGGCAGGCUGGGUCUUUCCUUAGAUGAAUUAUCUAUGUAUCCGUGUUUCUACCGAACCUUUCUUUAACCUAUAACUUGAAUGGUGCUUUUUUCUUUUUUUUUUUUUUUAAGGAUUACAAAGAUAGAAAUGACCUGUUAAUUGGAGAUUAAAAUAAGAGUAUUGACUCUAAUCACUUAUUUCAUACCCUGGUGCUUGUCAGAUUCUGUUUUUGCAAACCAUUAAAGUAAAUAUGAUUGAA